GACGAACGCUGGCGGCGUGCUUAACACAUGCGAGUCGAACGGAAAGGCCUUGUUUGCGGGGUACUCGAGUGGCGAACGGGUGAGUAACACGUGGGUGACCUGCCCUGCACUUUGGGAUAAGUUCGGGAAACUGGGUCUAAUACCGGAUAGGAGCCCCUUCUAGAGUGAUGGUUGGGAAGAUUUUUCGGUGUGGGAUGAGCUCGCGGCCUAUAAGCUUGUUGGUGGGGUAAUGGCCUACCAAGGCGGUGACGGGGAGGCGGCCUUGGAGGGUGGACGGGCACAUUUGGGCUUGGGUACGGGCCAGGCUCCUACCGGGAGCAAGAAGUGGGGAUAUUUCACAAUUGGCGCGAGCCUUGAGCAACGACGCCGCGGUGGGGAUUACCGGCUUCGGGUUGUUAACUCCUUUCGCUAGAUGCGGAACUUUUGGGUGCGGGACCUAGGUAAAGAACACCGGCUAACUACGUG
Molecule: ribosomal RNA, 465 nt
Filed under: uncultured bacterium
Lineage: Bacteria
Description: partial 16S ribosomal RNA
Rfam family: Bacterial small subunit ribosomal RNA
Source: RNAcentral